CAACCCUCACGCCCCUAGGGCGUGGUGUUGGGGAUCGGCCAGCGCCCGCGAGGGACGGCCGGCCCCUAAAUCUAGUGGCGGACCCGUCGUGGCCUCCCCUGCGAAGUAGUGAUAUUCCGCAUAGGAGAGCGACGAGCCCCUGCCGUUAAACCCCCAACUUUCUCAGG
Molecule: unclassified non-coding RNA, 167 nt
Filed under: uncultured Clonostachys
Lineage: Eukaryota; Fungi; Ascomycota; Sordariomycetes; Hypocreales; Bionectriaceae
Description: sequence contains ITS2
Source: RNAcentral